AUGAAGUUUUAUCCUAGCCCCAGAAAUCAAAUUGUUGCUACACCCAUUAAUCCUAUCAUGAGUAUGCCAAGUUCGGUGGUGACGCCGAACCAAACCCUACCUACAAGAGCAAACACUGUUAGAUCACUGCCGAAUUACAAUUUGGCAUACAUGCCACAAUUCACACUUGCAACUACUAACCCUACUCCUCCUAUGCUACUACCACAAGCUUCAUCGUCCACUGUGGAUGAUGGUCUAGCUAAUCUUAGAGGGGAGAUGGCUAAGAUGCUCCGAGAGAAUUUUGGAGUUGAGUUACCAAGGAACCACAUUUACCAAAAGCCAUAUCCAGAAUACUUUGAUGCAAUUCAAUGCCCUCUAGGAUAUAAAAUUCCAGAUUUUGUUAAGUUUAAUGGAGAGGGCACAAAAACUACCUGGGAGCAUGUUAGUCAGUACUUGGCACAAUUAGGUGAGGCAAGUUCACGAGAUGAGUGGAGAGUACGUUAUUUUCCUUUAUCUUUAACCGGUACUGCUUUCUCGUGGUUUUCUACUUUACCACCUGGUUCUAUUACUACAUGGUUUCACUUAGAACAAAAUUUUCAUGAUCAUUUUUAUAGUGGUGAUAAUGAGCUUAAGUUGUCACAUCUUACAUCGGUUAGACAAAAGCAUGAUGAAUCGGUCUCCGAUUACGUCAAGAGAUUUAGAGAUACAAAAAACCGGUGCUAUAGUUUGGCGAUAACCAAGAGAGAUUUGGCUGAUCUUGUGCUUAGUGGUUUGAGAACUCACAUUAGAGAAAGGCUAGAAGGACAUGAGUUUUUAAAUAUCAACCAAGUCUUGUAA
This 816-nucleotide ribosomal RNA is filed under the name Triticum aestivum (bread wheat). RNAcentral's name for it is "partial small subunit ribosomal RNA". Lineage: Eukaryota; Viridiplantae; Streptophyta; Magnoliopsida; Poales; Poaceae. The record is from RNAcentral.